RNAcentral lists this unclassified non-coding RNA (4674 nucleotides) under Monomorium pharaonis (pharaoh ant). Its description in RNAcentral is "inositol polyphosphate 5-phosphatase E, transcript variant X1". The record is from RNAcentral. Lineage: Eukaryota; Metazoa; Arthropoda; Insecta; Hymenoptera; Formicidae.
GGGUAUUGUAUUCGUGGAGUAGUAAUAGUCUUAUCUUUGAGGCACGUGCAUAUAUUUCUUCGGAUCGUUGAGAGUGCGAGUAAUCCAAUGAAAAAUGUCAAGUCCGAGCAAGAAAAGGAAGAAAAGUUUGUUGAACAAGUUAUGGUCCAUAUUUAAAGCGAAAGAUGAUGAGGAUUUCUAUAAUAAGCAAGAGAAAGCGUUUGGUAGCGGGCAAACCGAACUUUUGGAAAGCGCACCUUGCAGUUCUGAUCAACAGGUCGCAAAAGUUAGCAGUGAAAUUUGUGUAGCAAUUCCGAAAAAUAGUUUGUCUCGAAAUGAGGAGUGUACCGAUAAUAAGAAUUUGUCAGAUAUGCGAGAGGAAUGUAAGAAUGUAGUUACUGUAAAAAGUGAAAGUUCCAGGUUUCUCAUUGUAGGCGAUAACCUGAGUGAAAAGCCUCAUAAGUAUAAUAGUACGAAAAAUGCACAGGUGGUGCGAGAUACCAAAUUAGGAUCGGACAGACAUAUGAAUACAAAAAUUGCUUUUCUGAAGCAAAAUAUAGGCGCAAGUUCUCGGUCAUCUCUGGGAGAUACUGAGAAAAUGCAUCACGAUAACGAAAUGGAAAGUCACGGUCCCAAGAUUGCAAUAUUACAAACCCUUAACAAUGCUAGCGUUACAAGCGAUACGAGCAAAUUUUUAGUAAAAGAAACAAAGGCAAUUUCCCAAGAGAGUAGUGAAGAUAGUGACUUCUCUGCAGACUCAACAGAAGACUCGUUUGAAGACUCUUCAGAAGAUGAAAACGAUCUAAUCGAGUCGCGAAAAUACUUUAAGGAUGAUUACUUUACAAAGGGAAAAUAUAUUACUUAUUUCUUCCUGGAAAUGGAACGGCAAUUCUACAAUCCUACAGAUGUUUACAGUAUAAUUCAGUAUCAUGAUACUGCUUGCAAAAAACCAGAGAAAGAAGGUGAAUACUCUUCCUCGGGAUCGUUAUCGCCGAGUAUAUCGGGACAAUUACGCCGUAGAUUACUUCAUAGAAGAUCUGCCGAUAACUUGAUCGUGAACUCACCUACAAACUCUUUGAGACAUUCUAGUCCAGACUCUAUUAAGAGUGCACCGAUACAUCAUAAGUCACGUUCAACAUCUCACGAUGCUCUGUCCAAAAAGAGAGAACGUUUCUUUUGUAAAACAACAGGAGUGUCUAUGGAUAGCUUGGCAAAGCAAUCAUUACUUGCUGCACAAGUACUUAAUCUAAUUCCUACUCAAAAGGCACGGGAAAGGAAUUUUCUUCACGGAAGAAUUGCCGCCAAUUCCUUACUUGGACCAGUGGAACUUGAGAAAGUAUUGCCUAAUCGAGAAUUGAAAAUUUUUAUUGGUACAUGGAAUAUGAAUGGCCAAACUCCGCCAAAGGAAUUGAACGAUUUUAUGUUGCCAUCCGACAUAGAGACUGUUCCUGAUUUGUUAGCUAUAGGAACUCAGGAAUCGUGUUCCGAACGACAUGAGUGGGAAGCCGCUCUGCAAGAAACUGUCGGUCCUUCGCAUGUGCUGCUAACUAGUAGUAACCUUGGUACGCUUUACCUUGCAAUAUUUAUAAGACGAGAUUUGAUUUGGUUCUGCUCCAUUCCGGAGGAAGACAGCUUUUCAACGAGACCUGGAACGGCGUUCCGAACAAAGGGCGCCGUAGCUAUAGCUCUUAUGAUAUUCGGCACCAGCUUUCUUUUUGUUACGGCUCAUUUGACCGCGCAUCAAGAUAAGGUAAAAGAACGAGUUAAUGAUAUAAAGAGAAUCGUGAGGAAUCUUGACCUUCCAAAAGAGUUACCUAGCAGGCACAAAAGUAAAGAUGUUACACAAAAUUUCGAUUGUGUGUUUUGGUGCGGUGAUUUGAACUUCCGUCUAGCUCAACCAAGAGAGGAAGUGAUUCAAUGGAUCACGAAUACGUGCUUUCCACAACAAUCACCGAUAAACAUGCAGCAAACAUGCAAAGAUCAGCUGAAAAAUAUCCUGAAUGAGGGCGCAGUAUUGCGCGGUUUCGAGGAAGCCCCGAUCAUGUUCCCUCCUACCUACAAAUACGAUCCAGGAACGCAGAUUUUUGAUUCCAGCAGCAAGCAACGUACUCCCGCGUAUACCGACAGAAUUCUCUUUAGGGGAAAAGGUCAUGCCAGAGGAUACAUCAGGCGUGUUAGCCACGAGAGUUCCGGUAUGCAUAAGGACGGAGUUAUAGAAUGCUUGGUAUACGAUUCCGUUCCAAGUAUAUGCACCUCGGAUCACAAGCCAGUCUGGGGAGUUUUUAAAACCACGCUGCGGCCAGGUGUCGAUACAAUUCCGCUUGGCGCUGGGCUUUUCAAUCGCGAGGUGUAUUUGGAAGGUAUUAGAAGGCGCGCGGCAGCGAUGGACGAUUCUCUUGAAAGUUCAAAAGUUUGUUCAAUUCAAUAAAGAAAUUUGAGGCUUUCGCUCGAGAGUAUUAGCAGAAUUGGUAAAGUAUUUAUAGCGAUGAAAGAAAACUUUUCUAGUAAGAUUUGUAUAAUAGAUAACAAUUACCAGUGAACACCGUAAAAGUCUAGUCAAGCAGUGGAAUAAAUCUUUUGUUUAGAAAGAUGAGAUGUAAAUGAGGAUUUUAUAAUGUAUCGUUGGUAUAGCUUCAUAUAUACCGAUGGUAUAUCUUCGUAUAUAUACCGUUGGUAUAUCUACAUUCGUAUUGUGCCACACAUUAGAAAAAUAAAAUGGCUUUUUUGGCUUUAAGUGGCCGAUAUUGUCAAAAAAUUACCAAAAAAUGAUAUUCUUUUUGUAACUGAGGGUUUUAUUAGAUGCAUUUUUUAUAGUAAUUCUAUAUUGUAGUGCGUUUAUCAAAAUAUAACUCGAAUAAUAUGGCAGAAUAUAUACAUAUUAUUAUGUAUGUAUUUAAAAUAUUGCAAAAAUUUGCAGUGUUAAAAAAUAAUUUUAUAAAUAUUAAGAGAGAGACAUAUUUAUGUAAUUUCCUGCUACUAAUCUGCUGCUAAUAAUUGACAUUUGUAGAUCAAAUUUCUUAUAAGAUGAUUAUUUUAAUUUUUACGCGUUUAACUUAGAAAUAAUACCAAAACAGUAGACCAAAUUAUCGGGCCAAUACUAUAUUAGAAAAUUAAUAGUCGCAAGAUUUAGAUAAUACUUUUGUUCAUUAAUUAGUUAUAUUCUUAUUUAUUGGGACCACCCAUUGUGUCAAGACACUUAAAAGACAAUUCGAAACAGUAGAAUAUCUUUUCUUAAGCAUACAUGUGUAUGUAUACAUGUAUAAUAACUAGUUGCUAAAUAAUAUUGUCGUUUCAAAUAGUGUUGUGUUAUCGGUUUUAAAUAGUCUAUAGCAUUAAAUGAUAAUGCUCCUUGAUAAUAGGAGAUGCCCUAUUUCUACCUUGUUGUAGAUAUUAAUAAUAAUCAUGGCAUAAUUAUAAAACCCCACAGUAUUGUUACACAAUAAUAAUAUAUGCACAAAUAAGGCAACUAUACCAACAUUAGAUUUAACGUUUGCUAUUUUGAAACUAUGAGGAAAUAAUUGCUGCAUAAAUAUAUAACAUGUGAUAUAAAUUAUAGUCAUGUUAUACAAUUUUUUAAUAAUUAACUAUGUCUUUUACUUACAUUUAUUAUGAGUGGUAACUACAAUUUUUUGUUAAGUACAAAUGGAUAUUUUUAAUUUGAUUGUUAUGAUUUUGUUAUGUGUCUUUGUGAUAAAUUUAACUAUUACUUUUUAAUUGUCUUAUAUUUCACAUUAUUUCAAUAUAGUUUUCAAGAUAAUUCAAGUCUUACAUCUAAUAUAUAAAAUAGACAUAUUAUGACAAUGUAUCUAGGAAUUACUGUAUAUUCUUUUCUUUUCUCUACUAGUUCCUUUCUCUUCUAACAUACUAAUUGGAAAAAGAACAAUAGCAAAGUUUGGUUUAUAAAAAGCAAAUGAUGUAUAAUGUAAUUACAUUUAUAUGUUAAGAUAAACAAUAUGAACAUACUAUAUAUAAAAAAUUAAGCUCCACAACAAAAUACUUGAAGUGGUGUUUAAUACGCUUAAAAAGUUCCAUUAAAUAUGUUAUAGAACAUAUAUAAAUGUUUGAUAGAGAAGAAAGCGCUUAUACCUAAUUAAAACAAAGUAUUAAAAAAAGACAUAUAUGAUGUAUUACAUGUUAGGUGAUAAGUUAAGAAUAUUGAACUAUACUUUAAGAAAGAUGUGAUUCAAUGAUUUAUUAUUUGUAUUAUCAAAUGCAAAAUGUACUCUAUUGCGAGCAAAAUAUUCAAAGCUGUAAAGCAACAUGAUUCUGGAGUUCUCGCACUCCAAAUAAAUAAUCAAAGGGUUAAUCUUAAAUUGGAAGGGUAUUUCUAUAUGAUAGAGGCAUUUCGUGUCAUGCGCAUACUUUAGUGUCUUGUGAUAACUUCUUUGUAAUUGCGUAGACAGGUUACCAAAUGAGGUGCCUAAAAACAUCUUUUACUGUUUCUGAGCUUUCUACAAAUGAAGCGAGACUAAAAACUGUCAGGGUCAAGAUCUUUAAGUCUGCCGAGCAGGUUGCCUUAAUCAUGCCUUACUUAAAUCGUUACAUAUGUAGUUAUGUAAUCUCGACCUCUGUGUACAAUUCUCUUGAGAUUAAAUUUCAUUCAAAUCUCCGCUUCGAUUAGAAAAAGAAAGGGAAAAUGCAGUACAGAAUAAGUAAUUUAUGUUGCAGUCAUUUUUGUAAUAUAUGAACAAAAAA